RNAcentral lists this ribosomal RNA (1092 nucleotides) under Triticum aestivum (bread wheat). RNAcentral describes it as "partial small subunit ribosomal RNA". Lineage: Eukaryota; Viridiplantae; Streptophyta; Magnoliopsida; Poales; Poaceae. The record is from RNAcentral.
AUGGGUGGUUUAAAGGAGGAUGUGGACAACACAGUUGACCCUGAUUUUGACGAUGACACUUUGGAUAACUUCGGGGAAGUAGACCGUGUUUCUGAGGAAGAUGAGUACGAUAAGUUUGAUGACUGGGAUAUCCAGCCUGGAGCGGAAGCUUCUUUACCAUGGCUGCAGAAGACUGACGCUGAAGUGUCAUAUAAUAGUAGAACACCCAUCCCAAUCUUGGUUGAUGAAAAAUACAACACAUUUAAACAGUUCGAUACUGUUGAUGAUCAUAGUGAUCAUUAUUAUUCGAAACCAGAGUUGUGGAAAGCUCAGGUAGUGAACGAGCCAUCAAAUGACUGGGUGAUGCGCAUUCAACAUGAGUGUGAAGUCUUAGGAAAAGACUUGCCAGGUAGUAUAUUCGUGAGGGCAUACAAGGAUAGAAUGGACCUUCUUAGAGCUGUCAUCAUGGGACCAGCAUACACUCCUUACCAUGAUGGGCUGUUUUUCUUCGACAUUUACUUCCCUCCUCAUUAUCCAAAUACACCUCCACUUGUGAACUACCGUUCUGGUGGGUUGCGGCUUAAUAAAAACAUGUAUCCUUGUGGGAAGGUAUGCCUUGGCCUCUUAAACACUAGGCCUAGUGGUGGAUGUGACAAAUGGAAUCCAUCCAAUUCAACCAUGCUGCAAGUCCUUGUCUCCAUUAAGGAUUUGGUGUUGAAUGGCAACCGUUAUUUCGGCUCGGCUGCGUAUUCAGCCUACACAACUAGUGGGGAGAAAAGAUCCCUAACGCAUAAUGAAAAUAGUUUCCUGCGGUCCUGCAGGAUGAUGUUGUAUUCUCUUCGAAACCCACCAAAGCAUUUUGAGGAUUUCGUUGCUGGUCAUUUCCGCAAGCACGGGCACAACAUCCUCGUGGCUUGCAAAGACUACCUGGACGGCGCCCACGAUGGACGUCAUUCACUGCAUUUCGGUAUGUGGGAUUGGAGGAUGAUGGACGACAAAAGCUGCUCGCUGAAGUUCAGGACGCUGCUGAAGAGACUGUUCGAGGAGUUGCUGAUUGAGUUCAGUGAGAAGGGAGCAGACUGCGACGAGUACCUAUCAGAGAAGGCGAAGUAA